Long non-coding RNA from Felis catus (domestic cat), 1412 nucleotides. RefSeq lists it as uncharacterized. The transcript has 6 exons. The record is from RefSeq and is a predicted model, not a curated record. NCBI's taxonomy places the organism in Eukaryota, Metazoa, Chordata, Mammalia, Carnivora, Felidae.
UUUGAAGGUAUAUUAAGUUUCUAUUGUAACAAAUUAAUACAAACAGUGUCUUAAAACAACACAAAUUUAUUCUGUUACAGUUCUGGAGGUUAAAAAUUCUAAAUCAGUUUCACUGGGCUAAGAUCAAUGUAUUAUAAGGACUGCAUUCUUUCUGAAGGCUCUAGGGGAGAAUCUAUUUCUUGUCUUUUCCAGCUUCUAGAGUCUGGCUAUAUUUCUUGGUUUGUAGCCCCUUUACAAGCAACGACAUCAAUCUGACCUCUGCUUCCAUUAUUACAUCUCUUUCUGUGACCCUGACCCUCCUAUUCCCUCUUGUAACCCUUGUGAUUACAUUGGACUUCCCCACAUAAUCCAGGAUGAUCUCUCCAUCUCAAGAUCCUUAAUUUAAUAAGAGUCACUUUCCACCAAUUGACGUUUCUCUUCAUAAUGGAUCACAUUUUAUGCUACUUUGCAUUGCAGACUGCUACACUGCCCUGCAAAACUUAGCCACUUCAGACUUCCUGGACUUCCAGCUCCAUACUCUCAACUCAACAAUCUCCAAGUUCUGCCCAGCUUCUUCCUUUAUUCUCAGUGGCCUGAAAACUCUCUGAAGGGUGCUGUCGAAAAAAACCACCAGAUGUCGAAUAGAAGCAAGGCAAGAUUUUAUUCACCGCCAGGCCAAACCUGAUCUGAUCUUAGGGAGAAAAGUGCAGAGAACGCCCUGAACAAAGCCUGAACCAGUGGCCUCAUGGGGAGUUCCCUAUAUUCAGCUGACAAAGGAAAAGUCAAGCCAUGUUUACUCAUGGUUCUGUAUGGCAAAAUUCACAGAUCCAGGAUUCAAGGUGUGGAAAUGGGAGUGGCACUCCUCACUAUUACUCCUAGUGACUCACCAGCAAAAUUUUUGCUUACUGUUUCUGAGAAUUUAUGCUUUACUGGCCUGCAGGUCUUAGUUCCAGAGGAAAUAAUUUUCUACCAGGUAACUCAAAAUGAAUCCAUUAAACAGAAAGUUAAGGCUGCAACCCAGCUACUUUGGGGUCCUCCUACCUCUAAAUCAACAGGCAAAGAAAGGUAUUAAGGUUCUGGCUUUCGUAACUGAAUCCGACUGCCAAGGAAAAAUUGGACAGCUACUCUACAGCAGAUUAGGAAGAAUAUGUCUGGAAUACAGGAGAUCUCUUAGGGCAUCUUUUAGUAUUACCAUACCCUUUGAUUAAUGUCAAUUGAAAGCCACAACAACCCAAUGGGCCAGACUCUAGGAAAGAAGGUUUGGAUCACCCCAAAGGUAAAGAACCAUGACGAGCUGAAAUGCUUCCUGAAGGAAUAAAGCAGUAGAAGAAAGUAGUCAUAAAUAUCACUACAAUCAUGUGACAGAAAAGAGGACUGAAAUUGUCAUGAGUAUUUCCUCCUUUAUUUUGUAAUAAAUGUAUGUAUGUAUGUAU